Dicentrarchus labrax (European seabass) is the source of this 328-nucleotide long non-coding RNA. RefSeq lists it as uncharacterized. NCBI's taxonomy places the organism in Eukaryota, Metazoa, Chordata, Actinopteri, Moronidae. The record is from RefSeq and is a predicted model, not a curated record. The transcript is spliced from 2 exons.
ACAGGACUCCUUAUCCCAGGAAGCUCUGGCACCACAGCAGUCCACUGAACUCACUUCUGCACCAGACCUGCUUCCAGAGCCCAGAGCAGAGCGCCAACUAAAGAAGGUGAUGGUUUCGAGUCAAGAAUGCUGUUUGAGCGAAGACAACAAAACAUAGAGAAUGCAUGAACAAAGAGGAAGCAGGGGCGAGGAGACAAAGGCUCAGACACUGGCAGUGACUGACGGGCCUUCACCUUUCACCCUUGACCCUGGGGAGGAGCGAACUGAGACAGCAGCCGGCUGUAAUGAGGAGUCUGGUGCAUUGCUAAUAAACCUGAUGUGUGUGUGA